Molecule: ribosomal RNA, 199 nt
Filed under: uncultured bacterium
Lineage: Bacteria
Description: partial 16S ribosomal RNA
Source: RNAcentral
CACGUAGUUAGCCGUGGCUUAUUCGUCAGGUACCGUCACUUGCUUCGUCCCUGACAAAAGAAGUUUACAACCCGAAAGCCUUCUUCCUUCACGCGGCGUUGCUGGGUCAGGCUUGCGCCCAUUGCCCAAUAUUCCCCACUGCUGCCUCCCGUAGGAGUCUGGGCCGUGUCUCAGUCCCAAGUGUGGCCGACUACUCCUC